This is a non-coding RNA of Microcebus murinus (gray mouse lemur), 3590 nucleotides long. The record is from RefSeq and is a predicted model, not a curated record. NCBI's taxonomy places the organism in Eukaryota, Metazoa, Chordata, Mammalia, Primates, Cheirogaleidae.
UGGAGCUGAGCCGGGAGAGGCAGCCCAGGAGGGCUGCAGGGUUCUGACUUUAUUCUGGGUGAGAUGGAGGUCAUGGCAGGGCUGUGAGCAGGGAGGGACGUCUGUUCUACCUUUAGAAGGUCACCUUGACCACCAGAGUGGUGGUGGACAGCCCACCUGGGGCUGCCGUGCCUCCCCAGGGGCACCCUGCGAUGGCAGCUCGGUGGGCUUGGCAGGUGCUGGGCUGGUGCCCGCCGAGCCUGAGGGCUGACUGAGUGUGCUCUGUUGAGGAGUCCCAGGCCCCGUUCAGCAAACCCGGGGCCACACACCGCGGAGUUCCCCCGGCCUGUGGUAGGCGGCCUCCCUCCUCUCCUUCCUCAACCUUGCCCGCGUGGACUCCGGAGCGUGACGUCAACGCCAGGGAAAGGGAGCCGUGUCUGCAUCACUCCAGACGAGGACACUGGUUGGAGGCCGCGGCCCCUGGAGACAUGGAAGGGGACCCCUUGUCUGUCUUGUCUCUGCUUCUCUGUGGUACUUGAAGAGAAGUUGUUCGUGGUGGAUUCGCUUUACUUAUGACGAAUCAUUCACGGACAACACUUUUUUCAGUACCAAAUGCUACCUCUAAGGACUUCCCGGACACAGUGGCCACUUUAGGAAAGACAGCCUUUGUGUCAGCCACACGGAGAAACCAAGAAUGGAUGGUUGGCCAUGGACAGUGCACUUGGCCUAGCUGUAAGUCUCCAGGUUCCAUGACCUGAGCCUCCAUCCACUGUAGGCGGCCUUCCGCGGGCCACGCUAACUCUGGGGACGUGGCUGUGGUUCUGCCACCAGCAGCAGCUUACAAGACUUUGAAGAGAGGCCUCCUGGGCCCGAGGCCAGCUUCCAGAAGAGAUGUUGGUGUCCGCACCGUCCAGGGUGUGUGACUGGUUGACCAGAGGGGCAUGCACUCUGUUCACCCUGUGGGCCACCUAGUCACCAACCCUCAGCAUCAAUCGCACCCCAGGAAGACUUCCAGGAGAUCCUGCCGCCUUUGGGGAAGCAGCAGUGGACUUGCUAUGAGUGCCCGGUGGACCAGGAUGAUCCGUAGUCUUGGGGGUGGUGUUUACGUAGAGUGCCCCGAGCCGUCCUUGGUAGCUCCUCCAUCACUAUCGCAGCCUCCUCGAAGUGCUGGCCUCUGAUGUUGGACACGAUGUUGCCUCUGAUGAGGGACCUGAGCGGGCAGCUUCUCUCCUGGGUGUGUGAUCCAAUCGUUCUUCGCAGAGCAUGUGCUUCAUUUCUUAGGUAUGUGAUCUGGUCCUCUAACCCCUGGCAUCCCGUCUCUCCAUAGGAGGAUCCCUGGAGGGGAUUCCGGCUUUGGGAAGCGGCCAUUGUUCUCCAGUCAGCGCCACUAGGGGCUACCGAGAUGUGCUCAUUUUUUGACGGCUGUGGCACAGCGCCCCUCUUGUCCGGGAGGACUAACUGCACCCACCCCGCAGCAGGGGAAGGCAGAACAAAACGCCAGCCCCGCCCUAAGGUAAGUGUGCCUCGGGUGAGCAUGCACUUAAUGCGGGUGUAUGUCACUCGGCUCGGCCCACUACCCAACGCUAUCCCACCCAUCUCUAACAGGACUCCUGAGAGGGGCAGCUGCUUUUGUGAGAGAGGCAAUGGAUUUCUCACCAGUGUUCAUUUAUGGUACUUGGAGAGAGGCUGGCCGUGAUGAAUUCGAUUCAUCAAAGCGAGUCAUACACGGCUCUCCUCUCUUUUAGUGUCAGAUUCUGCCUCGGAGGGCUUCCUGAGCCAGUGCUGUGUCCCAGGUAGGUUUCUGGAUGGCUGAGCCUAGGCAAGCACUUUCCUGAUGAUGCAUGUUAUUGACCCACUAGCCCUAGCAUCCAAGCUGACCCUAAGACAACUUCCUGGGGUACUACCAACACUAGGAAAAGCAAGGGAGAUUGUCGAGAUGCCCUGCCUUUUAAAGAAUUAAUAUUGAAAUACACAUGGCUAGCUUCUUUUUUCUUAUUAUCAAAUUCAACUCCAAGGUUGAAUUUGGGCAACUCUUGGUUGAAUCUUGGGCAUCCAUAAGCAUCUUUUACUAUUCAACCCUAAGGAUAUAGAAGAGAAUAGGAGAGAGGACCCUUUAGUGUGACCCCUGGUUUACUAACCCACAACAGCCCCACACCCUCCAGGGAGCUCCUUUAAGGGGAUCCCAGAUUUACCAAGGAAACCGUGGUUGACCUGCUUUUGCAAACGUGUGGUUCGCUUUGUUUGUAAUGUCUCCUGUGCUGCUGACUCCUCUGCAUUAUUAAGUGUUGUGUGCAUGGCCAGUCAUGUGCAGGAAGUGGCAUUUCUGCCCACACUAAUCCUGGGUUGGUGAACCAGGGGUUGGCUGGAGAGCAUGGGUUUGAUUGGGAAUUGAGUCACUGGUCCACUCAUCCUUAGGGUCCCAUCCACCCUCAGAGGCCACUCCCAAGCUGCCCAGGCUGUGUGGAAGAUACCGCAAGCAGUGCCACCUCCUGGUACUCGGAGGGAGGUCGUCCGUGGAUGCCUUCUUGCAAUGCCAACUUCUGGGAGGGACAUGGAGUCAACACCACUCGACAGGUAUGUGAAUUUGCUGUUAAUAGUGGAAGAUUUUUUUCGUCAUGUGUCUGCUGUACGGUUAACUCUUUGUAUGCACUCUAUCCUCAGGAAGACUUCCUGGAAGUUGUGCCCACUGUUGGAGAUGAGGCCAUGAUUCUGAGGUUAGUGCCAAGCUGUGGGAUAAUAAAGCUUGCAUUUAACACUAUCUCUUUUUUAUGGUCAGUAUUGCAAAGUCAACCUCUUCAUAAUGGACUUAGCUUUGGAGGGCUUCCUGCACACAAGGCCUAUGGAAGGAAAGGAUCCUUGCUGUUGGCCUCGAUGCUAACGUGAACGGAGGGAAUGUUCCCCGCCGCGAUCGGAAUGAUGAAUUUCUGUGCACUAGACCUCUCCACCAUCAAUCCUUCUGGAAGUGCUCCCUAGAUAGGGGGAUGACCUUGGCCAAGGCAUCGAGGCCUCAACUACCGCAGGGUCUGAGAUGGGACAGUGGAACUCGGGUGUGUGCUCUGUUCUCAGCCCCCUUGCAGGCAGUCCACUAACCUUCCGUGCUCACUCUGUCCUCAGGGGAACUUCCUGGAGGAGGCCAACUGUGGAGAAGAGGCGUUGACACCGUGCCGGUGCUAAUGUGCGGUGCUUGAGGAUAGGUUAUCCGUGUUGCCUUCGCUUUAUUUGUGACGAAUCAUACACGGUUGACCUAUUUUUCAGUACCAAAUCCCGCCUUGGAGGGCUUCCUGGAGCAGAGUCUCAUUUCAGGGCAGGAACUUGGUAUCAGUUCCUCUCCUGGGUAAGCCAAGGGACUGUUGACCACAGCCGCACAGCUGACCGGGCCAAGCAUGUGCCCUCCUGAAGCUGGUCCUAACCCGUGUGUCACCUAUCCUUGGGAAGAUUGCUGGGGGUGGUGCCCACUUUGAGGCAAAAGUGGGGCUUUUCUUAUCAGAGCUACACUGCAGUACUUAUAGAGAAGUCUUCCAUGAUGCAGUCAUGCAAGUUGACAUUUUUAAAGUAUCAACUCUGGGGCCGGGCGCGGUGGCUCACAUCUGUAAUCCUAGCCCUCUGGGAGG